ACAUCUACAGCAGCAUGCUAAAGCAGUACCAACGCCAGGGCAAAAGACUCAAAUUCCCAGAAUGCACCUGCACCCACCUAUUCAUUUCCACCAAUCAGGAUCAACGGCAUUAUUUCAAACCGCUACUGACUCGUUUUCAUGCUAAACAGUACGGCUGAGAGGUCAUGUACCAUGUGGUCGACCUUGCUGACGCUGAAGAGGUUUCUGUGUAAAAAUGAUGUAAGUUAAGUUUAAUCUUUUAAUUUAAUAUUGUUUUAAUUCAUGCCCAUGUCAUGCUGGCUACCAGUCAAAUAUCGCAUACAAUUAAAAA
Molecule: non-coding RNA, 310 nt
Organism: Misgurnus anguillicaudatus (oriental weatherfish)
Lineage: Eukaryota; Metazoa; Chordata; Actinopteri; Cypriniformes; Cobitidae
Source: RefSeq, a predicted model, not a curated record